ACGUCCAUCACAAAUUUGGUCCAGAUUUUUCUGUGACGAACCACCCCUGUCUAAUGCAUUUUCCAAUGUCUUCUUAACUUUCUUGAUCUCUUGUUUAAAAUCAUGUGAAGCUUUCCCACUCAUUAAACAUCUAAUCUUUCUCAGCAACCUCUUCACGUGUAACCGAUUUUUUGUCGUGUAAAUUAACCCCAAUUUUCCAAUCAUCCACCACUAAUGUUCCGGUUUGUGAAUUGAUCGGGCAACAAUGGAUAACAAAUCAUUGAAACAUUAGGACAUAUAUAAGCUCUCCACAGUGUGUUAAGAAGAACCCUCCAGUUGCUGGAUCCGAAAGCACAGCAACUUGGGAGCACCACGGCAUGAUUAUGCCACGACAUUUUAUUUAGUAGUCAUAUCCGGCAGGGUGCUGUCGACUACAUUCCGCAAGGCAUGUUUCUACCAUAAUUUCCGUGAAGCAAACAAAUGUGCUGACAUGCUGGCUACAUGGGGAGGAAGCACAGAUAUUCAAUUCCUAAUUUUUGAUCAUUGUCCUGUUUUUGUUCUCCCAUUACUUUUGGAUGAUCUAAGAGGUGUUACGACACCAAGAAUGACUGUAUUAAACUAAUCUCAUGUUGUAGACUGCUUUAUUUUCCUUGAAUGUAUCUUCAAUUACCAAAAAGAAAAAACAAACAAACAAAACCGAGCCUUCGGGUUUUGUAUCAAGCCAUGGGCCACAAUUCGACUCGGACCACCUGCUCGUGGGAACCGAACUUCUGGUCAAACCAGAGGGCAAAAUUGGUCCGAUGGAAUGGAAAGGUUGCUUUUAUUGAAGAGCUGAGAUUGUUUGUGGUUCGAGUUAAUCUGUAGUGUUGAAAAUUUACAAAAUCUGCCUUUCUUACAUUCUUGAAUGCUUUGGCUAUUAUAAGAAAGGAGCCAUUGCGAUUGGAGUUCCAAGCAACCUAGUCCAAUUGUCGUACUUUUUACAUUAUGUAAUGUGAACUACAUUAUAUUAUUGUACUUGUGAAAAAGUGAUGUAUCUAUCUUGUAUAUAAAAAGAAACAAAGCUUACUGUAACAAUCCCUCUUUUUGCCA
Coffea arabica (coffee) is the source of this 1068-nucleotide long non-coding RNA. RefSeq lists it as uncharacterized. The record is from RefSeq and is a predicted model, not a curated record. Lineage: Eukaryota; Viridiplantae; Streptophyta; Magnoliopsida; Gentianales; Rubiaceae.